This is a long non-coding RNA of Astatotilapia calliptera (eastern happy), 1157 nucleotides long. Lineage: Eukaryota; Metazoa; Chordata; Actinopteri; Cichliformes; Cichlidae. The record is from Ensembl.
CUGAUGGAGCGCAGAUUUAAGCCUACAUGAUUCAGGUCCCCCGCUAUUAUGUGAGUCCCAUCUUGAUAUAUGUUUAGCUGGGUCCUAAUGGCACUAUGUAGGAGGCUAAGAGCAGACAUAGCAUUAGCGUCUGGAGCUACAUACACUGCAGUGAUCAGAAUCGCUGACGAUAACUCCCAGCGGAGGAAAAAAGGUCUGCAUUUAAUGACAAGACCAUUGUACUGCAGGAUUAACCUGAGUGUCCCAGUCCUGGACCGUUUUUUAACCAGGAAGAUGCAAGGCCUGAUUUUCGGCUAAGCAGGGAGUCCCUGGCAGUGUUGCUAAAUCUCCUGAACCAAGAUCGGCGGCAUGGUUGUGGUGCCACAAUUGAGAUCCUGGUGUUACUUUUCUGGUUGGCAAGUGGAGCAUCAUACAGGGUGGUCUCAAGAGUGUUUGGGGUGCCUUGUUCUACUGUCCACCACAUCGUCCGCCGAGUCACAAAAGAGGUGGUGGCCAUUCGCCACCAUGUCAUCCACAACCAAACGACCCCAGAGGACCUGGAGCUAGUGGGUUUGCAGGGCUGGCACGCCACAGAGCCUUUCUGAAAGCGGUGGGUGCAAUCGAUGGCUGCCACAUCCACAUCAGGUGUCCAAGCAACCCUGAUGGUCAGUGCUAUAGAAACAGGAAACUGUUUCCAUCUGUCAAUGGAAAUUUGUACUUAGUAGUCAGUAUAAGCUUUUAAUGAUACAGGGAGUGCAGAAUUAUUAGGAGAGUUGUAUUUUUGAGGAAUAAUGUUAUUAUUGAACAACAACCAUGUUCUCAAUGAACCCAAAAAACUCAUUAAUAUCAAAGCUGAAUGUUUUUGGAAGUAGUUUUUAGUUUUAGCUAUUUUAGGGGGAUAUCUGUGUGUGCAGGUGACUAUUACUGUGCAUAAUUAUUAGGCAACUUAACAAAACUUAACCCAAACCAGUACUCCACCUCCACCUUGCUGGCGUCUGAGUCGGACUGGAGCUCUCUGCCCUUUACCAAUCCAGCCACGGGCCCAUCCAUCUGGCCCAUCAAGACUCACUCUCAUUUCAUCAGUCCAUAAAACCUUAGAAAAACCAGUCUUGAGAUAUUUCUUGGCCCAGUCUUGACGUUUCAGCUUGUGUGUCUUGUUCAGUGGUGGUCGUCUUUCA